Non-coding RNA from Pelobates cultripes (western spadefoot toad), 341 nucleotides. Lineage: Eukaryota; Metazoa; Chordata; Amphibia; Anura; Pelobatidae. The record is from the annotation of a GenBank genome assembly.
AAAGUGAGCAUGUUGGUUCAAUGCGCAGAGCCCCGCUGAAGAGCUCUAGCAUUAAAAAAAGGCCCUGAAUUUGUUCUGCGCAGCGCAAGCAAAUGUAAUAACAUGCUUGCGCUGUGUUUGCUUUUAAAUUGUCUUUGGUGUCUCCACAAGUGGGAUACCAGAGGACAAAAGGGCCAGGAAAGUGUAUGGUGCAUGUGUUUGGCGGAUGCUUGUGGGAUUGCCUGUGUGUAGAGUGUGGUAUUGUGUAAAUAGGUCCAUUUUGUGCUGUAAUAUGUGUGGCUAGGGGCUGUAGAGAGUGCGUGUAUAGGGGGCAUAGUGUUAUAGGGGAUGUAGCGAGUGUG